UUGGACUACCAUGGCAGUCACGGGUAACGGAGAAUUAGGGUUCGAUUCCGGAGAGGGAGCCUGAGAAACGGCUACCACAUCUACGGAAGGCAGCAGGCGCGUAAAUUACCCAAUCCUGAUUCAGGGAGGUAGUGACAAGAAAUAACAACUCGGGGGCCUCACGGCUUACGAGAUUGCAAUGAGAACAAUUUAAAUCUCUUAGCGAGGAACAAUUGGAGGGCAAGUCUGGUGCCAGCAGCCGCGGUAAUUCCAGCUCCAAUAGCGUAUAUUAAAGUUGUUGCAGUUAAAAAAGCUCGUAGUUGAAUUUCUGAUUAUGGAUGUAGCGGUUUCCGUUACAUUUGUAGUCAUCCACAUGAGAACCUUUCUCGGCCUUCACUGGUCGGUUGGGGGAUCAUGUACUUUACUUUGAAAAAAUCAGAGUGUUUCAGGCAGGCGUUUGCAUGAAUACACAAGCAUGGAAUAAUGGAAUAGGACUAGGGUCCAUUUUAUUGGUUAUUGGACCAUAGUAAUGAUUAAUAGGGACAGUUGGGGGC
Molecule: ribosomal RNA, 533 nt
Filed under: uncultured eukaryote
Lineage: Eukaryota
Description: SSU rRNA
Rfam family: Eukaryotic small subunit ribosomal RNA
Source: RNAcentral